RNAcentral lists this non-coding RNA (23 nucleotides) under Cricetulus griseus (Chinese hamster). The record is from RNAcentral. Lineage: Eukaryota; Metazoa; Chordata; Mammalia; Rodentia; Cricetidae.
UGGAAUUUUGAUGGCUCUAGUAC